Molecule: long non-coding RNA, 132 nt
Organism: Centruroides sculpturatus (bark scorpion)
Lineage: Eukaryota; Metazoa; Arthropoda; Arachnida; Scorpiones; Buthidae
Exons: 3
Source: RefSeq, a predicted model, not a curated record
UUUUUUAAACUUGAUUCUUACAAAUGUGUACAAAGUUUACCACCCCUACCCAUGGAAAUAUCAUUGUAAUUACCACCAGCGGUUAUUCACUGAAGAGGGACUGGAAAAUAUUAGACCAGCCCGAAAUGCAUU